Hylaeus volcanicus is the source of this 1886-nucleotide long non-coding RNA. RefSeq lists it as uncharacterized. The record is from RefSeq and is a predicted model, not a curated record. The transcript is spliced from 3 exons. Lineage: Eukaryota; Metazoa; Arthropoda; Insecta; Hymenoptera; Colletidae.
UUCCUUAAGGAGAUAUUAACAUAAAACUCCGGACCAAUCAGAGCGCGAGUAGGCCGCGGUAGGCGUAGGCUACGCGCUAGGCGACCGCCCUCCGCGGGCACACUCGUGCUCUGAUUGGUCCGGAGUUUUAUGUUAAUAUCUCCUUAAGGAAGCCUCGGACAACAUUUUCGCUAAGGAAAAAGUUGUUUCAAAUCACCCCCCGAAUCACCCCUUUCAAUGAUCUCCAACAUUUUUGGGACACCCUGUAUUGUAUCCUCAUGGUAUUACUAACGUAUUAUAUACUCUACUCUUCAAUAAUUAUAUUAUUCUUCUAAAGCAAAACAAACCCAGAAGAGUUUCAACACUCAAAAUUAAUAAACAAACAAAAAAAUUGUCGCUAAUAAAAAAAAUUGCAAGGAAGAAUAAAUGAACGAUCUAUGAGAUUCAGAGAUAAAUCAGCCACCGAAUACAGAAUACCGUCACCGCGAUGCGGAGAAAGUGUAUCAUGGAUCACAGCCUUGGUCUCGUUUACUCGAGCGUUUCACGCGUCUCUAUUUCGAUAACCAAAACUGAAUGAGUCGAUUCAGUAUAUUCUCCUUUCCUCUCCUUUCCUCGCUCUUCAUCGUCGCGCUAACAAUAAGGUCAGCGGAGAUAUCGCGGGUCGUUGGGACCGAGUACGAUGAAAGUGAGAAAUUGGAGCCAUCCCGAGCAGUAGGGAUUAAUCGGUAGCCGUUUAAUUCGAAACGAAUCACAGCGAAUGGGAGUGCGUUUGGAACGCAGUCUACGUGACGCGUGGCCACGCACAGACUGUCGCCUAGGAGAUUGGAUGGAAUAUUAAUCGAGGCAUGAAUAACGCUGAUCGGACGUAAAUACUUUAGUGCAUCGAUCAGUGUACGUGUCUACAACGUUGCAGACCAUUCUCCCAUUGAUAUUACACGGGCGUACGCCUACGCGCAUUGUUGGAAAUACUAACGCAAUUACAUAUAAGCUGUUCGGGACAAUUAAGGAGCUCGGUUAUUGUAUUUGUGAUGAAAGAAUGAAUUUCUCCACCUAAUGUGGCACCCCUUGGGAUCCAGUUACAUCAGCACCGAGGAGGCACCGGUUCCCAGGAGAACCGGUGAGACCCAGCGGAUUUUCAGCGAAUGUACACCGCGGAGCUUCAAUCAGAAGAGUACGCGUCCCGUAUACAUAGCUGUAAAGGUUCAUCGAACCUCGCUGCACGUACGGGUUCUCGACCAAUAAUAAAGAUGCAUGCCCGGUACCUAACUACGUUCUAUACAUACGUACGGUGUUCGGAGAAGAAUUAUCGAAGGCGCGGAGAACCAUUUCUUGUGGCAGAAGUCGUUUGUCAAUUUGGAUUGGGAGAAGAUGGAGGAGAUAGUAGGCGGAGGUUAUGUUCCGGAUGCAUUGUUGCGUAAGUGUCGCGUGGCUAUGGAAGAGUAGAUAAUAACCUGUAGUAAGUAUAUUUAUAAUACAGUGACUAUAUCGCAUUAGGUGUAGGUACUAUGAAGUGGCUGUAUUGUAGUAAGUGUAUUUAUUGUAAAAUGUUGUGAAGUAUUUUUAGUGGAAAAAGUUGUUUUAUGUAGGCUAAUAUGCUAGGAAAUAAUUGAGAUAAAAGUUUCAAAUUUGUAGGGAUGUUUCCUAUUAUUAUAAGUAACAUCUCGACCCAGUUUCAAAUCAUUCCAUCAAUUUUCACCAGAGAUAUUAAAUUGAAAGUAACCAAUUGACCAAAGUUUCAUGAAGCUUUACCAUAAAUUACUUCAUGUUUACAAGACUGGUGUAUAGAGAAAUAAUUGAGAUAAAAAUCUGAAAUAUUUAUGCCUUCUUCCCAUCUUUAUAACUAACAACUAUGCCAAGUUUCAAAUUGUUUCAUCAUUUAUUACCCGAGUUACAAAAUUAAAAGUAAC